UACGUAGGGGGCAAGCGUUGUCCGGAAUCAUUGGGCGUAAAGCGCGUGUAGGCGGCCCGAUAAGUCCGCUGUGAAAGUCCAGGGCUCAACCCUGGAAAGCCGGUGGAUACUGUCGGGCUAGAGUCCGGAAGAGGCGAGUGGAAUUCCUGGUGUAGCGGUGAAAUGCGCAGAUAUCAGGAGGAACACCAAUUGCGAAGGCAGCUCGCUGGGACGGCACUGACGCUGAGACGCGAAAGCGUGGGGAGCGAACAGG
RNAcentral lists this ribosomal RNA (253 nucleotides) under uncultured bacterium. RNAcentral describes it as "partial 16S ribosomal RNA". It matches the Rfam family "Bacterial small subunit ribosomal RNA", at positions 524 to 776 of the family's 1533-position model. The record is from RNAcentral.